GCGUUGGUGGUUUAGUGGUAAAAUUCAUCGUUGCCAAAAGAAGCUGAGUCUUCACAGAGUGAUCCGUUGAAAGGUCUCUCGAAGAGAACUCGACAUCGUGUAUCGAUGAGCCCCGGGUUCGAUUCCCGGCCGACGCA
RNAcentral lists this transfer RNA (137 nucleotides) under Macrophomina phaseolina. RNAcentral's name for it is "tRNA-Gly". It matches the Rfam family "tRNA". From Rfam's summary of the family: Transfer RNA (tRNA) molecules are approximately 80 nucleotides in length. Their secondary structure includes four short double-helical elements and three loops (D, anti-codon, and T loops). Lineage: Eukaryota; Fungi; Ascomycota; Dothideomycetes; Botryosphaeriales; Botryosphaeriaceae. The record is from RNAcentral. RNAcentral also lists the same sequence under 1 other name.